Molecule: ribosomal RNA, 378 nt
Filed under: Triticum aestivum (bread wheat)
Lineage: Eukaryota; Viridiplantae; Streptophyta; Magnoliopsida; Poales; Poaceae
Description: partial small subunit ribosomal RNA
Source: RNAcentral
AUGAUUUGCACUAGGAGGGACAAGUCCAUUGCAGCCUACAUCCGGGAGUUGAACCAACACAUUCAUCGUCAGGAGAACCAGAUGUGCGCCAGCAUGAUAGACCUGAAGAAGGUGAUGACCAAGAACAUGGAGCUAGAAGAGGAACUCAAGUCUACACGCGAUGGAUAUGAAGAGGAAAUUGCAGUACUACUGGAGAAGAAUGAAGACCUGAAGAAGAAGCUAGGAAUAUUCAUGGGAGACCCUGCGCCAGGAGGUGAUGACCAUCCCAAAGACUACAUCAUCAUCGACGACACCGACUCCGACCGUGACAAUGAUGAUGAUUAUGAAGACGAAGCUGGAGCAGAUAUCAUGGAGUCUUCUUCCGAUCAAAAUUUCUAG